Papaver somniferum (opium poppy) is the source of this 827-nucleotide long non-coding RNA. RefSeq lists it as uncharacterized. Lineage: Eukaryota; Viridiplantae; Streptophyta; Magnoliopsida; Ranunculales; Papaveraceae. The transcript is spliced from 3 exons. The record is from RefSeq and is a predicted model, not a curated record.
UUCUUCUUCUUCUUCUUCUUCUUCUUAUUCUUUCUAUUUCCUUUCCCCGUUCUUCUGUUCUUGAUUGAUUUAUGACAUGAAAGUGAAUUCUAUUUGAGGGAAUCAAUUAUCCAAGAUGAUUAGAUGAAGAAGGUGAUGUUACUCAAGCUGAUCUAGUUCUGCAAUUACAGAGAUAUCGAUUCAAAGGAUGAAGCAGUGGAUUGUGGAUUCGAGGUAGACAUGGUUUGCCUACAAAUCAGAUGAAGCAAUAUCAUUAUAUAGGGGAUUCGACUCUCAAUAUUACUUUUACACCAUUUCUUGUGAGAAUCAGCUCGUUUGCAUAUUAUGAUUGAUUGUAAACCCUUCGGGGCUUAUGAUGGUAUUUUCCUGAAUCAUGAUUUGGAUGGGCACUCUGUGUGGAUGGCGUUAUUAUUCGAGUCUGGAGUUAUUCUGCUUUCACUUUCUCCAAUGAGUUUGGCGAGGUCUGAGUAACAUAUUUUUGGUUUGUUCUAGUUUCACUUUUGUAGAUCAUCCGGUGGUGGUCUUUCACAGAUAUUGUUAUUAUGGUACGCAAUAUCCGAGGAGGUAGAAUUAGAAUUACCUUUCUUUCAUGUAUGUUAUAUUGCGAUGCUUGUUGUUUGCUGAGUGAAUAAUUUAAUGUGUAUUCGAUUGAAAUCCCCGCGAGGAGUGACCAUGAUCUCCCCACAACUCCUUACUAAGUCUUAUUCAACACGGGAAGUGUAAAUAUUAUAUAGCAUGGGAAGUGAAAUAUUGCUAUCUAACGCGUAAAGCGUGAUAGUAUUACUUUUUUUAUUUUAUGACCUAAUUUAUGUCGUUAAUGACCAAGA